RNAcentral lists this ribosomal RNA (897 nucleotides) under uncultured bacterium. Its description in RNAcentral is "bacterial SSU rRNA". It matches the Rfam family "Bacterial small subunit ribosomal RNA", at positions 505 to 1397 of the family's 1533-position model. The record is from RNAcentral.
GUGCCAGCMGCCGCGGUGAUACGUAGGGUGCGAGCGUUGUCCGGAUUUAUUGGGCGUAAAGGGCUCGUAGGUGGUUGAUCGCGUCGGAAGUGUAAUCUUGGGGCUUAACCCUGAGCGUGCUUUCGAUACGGGUUGACUUGAGGAAGGUAGGGGAGAAUGGAAUUCCUGGUGGAGCGGUGGAAUGCGCAGAUAUCAGGAGGAACACCAGUGGCGAAGGCGGUUCUCUGGGCCUUUCCUGACGCUGAGGAGCGAAAGCGUGGGGAGCGAACAGGCUUAGAUACCCUGGUAGUCCACGCUGUAAACGGUGGGUACUAGGUGUGGGGUCCAUUCCACGGGUUCCGUGCCGUAGCUAACGCUUUAAGUACCCCGCCUGGGGAGUACGGCCGCAAGGCUAAAACUCAAAGGAAUUGACGGGGCCCCGCACAAGCGGCGGAGCAUGCGGAUUAAUUCGAUGCAACGCGUAGAACCUUACCUGGGUUUGACAUGGAUCGGGAGUGCUCAGAGAUGGGUGUGCCUCUUUUGGGGUCGGUUCACAGGUGGUGCAUGGCUGUCGUCAGCUCGUGUCGUGAGAUGUUGGGUUAAGUCCCGCAACGAGCGCAACCCUUGUUCACUGUUGCCAGCACGUUAUGGUGGGGACUCAGUGGAGACCGCCGGGGUCAACUCGGAGGAAGGUGGGGAUGACGUCAAGUCAUCAUGCCCCUUAUGUCCAGGGCUUCACGCAUGCUACAAUGGCUGGUACAGAGAGUGGCGAGCCUGUGAGGGUGAGCGAAUCUCGGAAAGCCGGUCUCAGUUCGGAUUGGGGUCUGCAACUCGACCUCAUGAAGUCGGAGUCGCUAGUAAUCGCAGAUCAGCAACGCUGCGGUGAAUACGUUCCCGGGGCUUGCACACACCGCCCGU